GCGGAGACAUCUGCAGCAAAGUGACUGAAAGUGAAAUCCCUCCACCUGGCCUCCUUCCCCCUCACUUCCGCGCCUUGCCACGGUCAGCCACCGAUCAGCGGGAGUUGGUUUGUAAACACCCCAGCUCUCUCUGAGGACUAUGUUCUACAUCUGCUCCCAGAACUCUAAAGGAUCAAGGGCCAGUUACCCACGAUGACAUCGUGCAUGAUCAGCUGCUCUUCCCCUCCCUGUCCCUCUUCCGCUCUCCCCUAUUGGGGGUUCCUGGGAUCAGGAAUCCUUGUUUUAGAGGAGGCUUCUGGGGGAACCUGAGCCAAGACAAACCCGAGUAUUGUUGGGACAGGAAUACCGGGGGUGGGUUAAGAAGAUGUCGAGGCCUGCCAGGGAGCCAGAGAGCCCUGGUCCCUAGCUCCAACCUGAGGACUGGGAUCGGAGGUCUUUCCAGAAACAGAAGGCUUCUAGCUGCUCCCAUGGGUUUCAGGAGGAAUCCGCUUGCUUGGAUCAGCUGACCUCUGACAGUUUGUUUAGGGAAGGAGUGGGGAGUGAUUGUUACAGGCCCUGCAGGGGAGAGAGCCUGUGGGUGGUGGUGCUGAGGCGUGUUUAAUGAGGCUGUCCCUUAGUCAGGGGCUGAAGGUGGACCCUUGACAUUUGGAAGCAGCGUGGAGAGUCACUGUGCACCCCCUGAGAGACGGAGGCCUCUGCCCGGAGCAGGGAACUUCAUAAGUGGCGGCCCAGAGGGAACCGUCCACAGAACCCCCUGUGUCUCCCCUCCAGAGUGUAGGUCCCUGAGGGCAGUCACCUGAUCUGUCUCAGUCACUGCAGUGUCCCCAAACAGAGCACCGCCUCAGGCACACAGAGGGCAGUGGUGAGGACUAAAGGAGGCGAUGAGAAGAGAGUCCCCACAAGGAGUCUGGCACAGAGGAAGUUUCGACGUAUGCUGUCCAUUGCAACUUCGACUUAUGCUGCGUUUCUGUGUCGGAACAGUGGAAGACAUUCAACAAGCACUUUGUCUCAGAGGCUUAGUUACAAUUAAUUGAGCCUGAAAGACCAUAGACUUGAAAAAGCCCUCAAAGUGAUAAAGGUAAAAAGAAAAAUAAAAUGACAUCUAGCAGGCACUGAGGGCUCUACAACGUGUGGCUAGCCUGUAUUCAGCACCCUACAGUGUGCAGCCAGGCUGUGCUCAGCAUCCUACAGUGUGCAGCCAGGCUGUGCUCAGUACUCUACAGUGAGUAGCCAGCCUGUGCUCAGCACUCCGCAGUGAGUGGCCAGCCUGUGCUCAGCACUCUACAGUAUGUGGCCAAACUGUGCUCAGCACUCCACAGUGAGUGGCCAGCCUGUGGUCAGGACUCUACAGUGAGUGGCCAGUCUAUACUCUGCACUCUACAGUGAGUGGCCAGCCUGUACACAGCACUCCACAGUCGUCAUCUUUUCAUCAUAAAUCUAAUGGCCACUUAAUGAGGUAGACCUGUCCCAUGACUUGAACUGAUUUCAAAAACUCAAAACUCAUACUCUCUUGCAUUUGGCAACCAAAACACAACCCACUUCCUGGGACCUUCUGACAGCCAGGCCACGUUGAGCAAACACCGAGCCCUCUUCAGAGUUGGUCAGCAGCCAGGUCAGCAGCGACUGGCAAGGCGACUGCUUGCCAGGUCUCCUCCAGCAUGAGCUUGGGAUGGAGCUGAAUCCCUUUCAUGCACAAGCAGAAUUUGAAAAGGUGCGGGGCCACACUAGUACCUCUGCGUCUCCUGCCAGAGCCCACCAGCUUAUUUUGCUUCUUCAGAGUCUGUAAAGCAUCCUUCUGGAUGACGAAUGCCUUCCGAGGCUCCAGCCCACCAAGCCUUCCUCUAAGUUUCAGAUGCAGAGGCCACCUCGGAGAACUGUGAUUGUCUCCCUGCAUCUCCCCAGUGCCCCCGGAUGAGUGCCACCCUCCUCACCUGCUAUCACAAAGACAAGAAAGGCCAUUCAUAAUUUAAGUCAGCCCUUUCUUUCCUGCACGCCACCAACAUGAGUCAGAUGCUGGAGGAAAAAUUGAACUCUUUCUCCCAGGAUACACCAAAGAUCAAGCAGAAUCUCAUUAAGGCUCACUUCAAAGACUCGUCCUUUAUUUCCAUACAAACAAGUUUAAAUUAUCGUGUGUGAAUCUGCUGUUAGCAGGGACUCUGUUCCAUUAUGCAUGAUUCCUUACUGUUCAUAUCAUGAAUAAUGGGCAGUGCUCCGUUAGCGAUUUCCAGUAAUAUGCUAAACUUUGGGAGUGGUCAUGGUGUUAGGUUAAAGUUCUGGUGUUUGCCUAUUUUAUUUCUUACUCAAGCUAUAAUGGCCUGCUUCAUCAAAAUAGGUUUCACAGUCUUAUUGUAAUGAACACAGCAUAACACAUGUUGUGGCUAUGAUUUCCUUAUUAUUAUUAUUGAAUAUUUAUUGAGCACUUACUAUGUGUAAGGGAUGGUGCUCAGUGUAUGCAUUGCAUGCAUAAUAUUUAAUCUUCCGGAAUCCCAUGAAAUAGCUAUGAUGAUUAUUCCCAUUUUACUGGUGAAAAAAACUGAUAAUUUGAGCAGGAUCUAAAUUAUCCACAGAUAAAACUUUUUUGUGUGUUUUUGAGACAGGGUCUCACUUUGUGACCCAGGCUGGAGUGCAGUGGUGCAAUUAUGGCUCACUGCAGCCUUGACUUUCCAGGCUCAAGCGAUCCUCCCACCUCAGCCUCCUGAGUAGCUGGGACUACAGGCAUGCACCAUCACACUGGCUAAUGUUUUAAACAAUUUUUGUAGAGAUGGUGUCUUGCUAUUUUGCCCAAGCUGGUCUGGAACUCCUGGGCUCAAGCAAUCUGCCCACUUCAGCCUCCCAAGAUGAUGGGAGUACAGGCAUGAGCCACCGUGCCUGGCCUGAUAGAACUGUUAAUAAAUGGUAAUGCUGAUUCAAAUCAGUUGGUCUGACUUCAGAUACUCCUAAUUAUAAAAUACUUUUUACAACGCUAUUACUUGCUGAAGAGCUUUGGCAGAUAAUCGAUGAUUUGGUAAGCAGGUAUUUGGAUGUCCAGUGCACAUUUCUCAUGUCCAGAUGAGAAAUGAAUGCUCAGGGGAUUGCUUGAUACCUGGGAGUGAGAAAAUCCUUGUUCAAGUACUGGUUUUGACUUCACUUAAUCUUGGGCAAGUCAUCCAGUCUUCCUGGAUGUGCUGAGGUGGUUGCAUUAUUGCCUUUGUAAUUUUUUUUCUUCAUUUUUUUAUUAUACUUUAAGUUCUAGGGUACAUGUGCACAACGUGCAGGUUUGUUACAUAUGUAUAUAUGUGUCAUGUUGGUGUGCUGCACCCAUUAACUCAUCAUUUUCAUAAGGUAUAUCUCCUAAUGCUAUCCCUUCCCCCUCCCCCCACUCCAUGACAGGCCCCUCUGUGUGAUGUUCCCCAUCCUGUGUCUAAGUGUUCUCAUUGUGCAAUUCCCACCUAUGAGCGAGAGAGAACAUGCGGUGUUUGGUUUUCUGUCCUUGCGAUAGUUUGCUCAGAAUGAUGGUUUCCAGCUUCAUCCAUGUCCCUACAAAGGACAUGAACUCAUCCUUUUUUAUGGCUACGUAGUAUUCCAUGGUGUAUAUGUGCCAAAUUUUCUUAAUCCAGUCUAUCAUUGGUAGACAUUUGGAUUGGUUCCAAGUCUUUGCUAUUGUGAAUAGUGCCGCAAUAAACAUACAUGUGCAUAUGUCUUUAUAGCAGCAUGAUUUAUAAUCCUUUGGGUAUAUACCCAGUAAUGGGAUGGCUGGGUCAAAUGGUAUUUCUAGUUCUAGAUCCUUG
This 3767-nucleotide long non-coding RNA is filed under the name Homo sapiens (human). Its description in RNAcentral is "HSALNT0269019". Lineage: Eukaryota; Metazoa; Chordata; Mammalia; Primates; Hominidae. The record is from RNAcentral.